This 473-nucleotide long non-coding RNA is filed under the name Malus domestica (apple). RNAcentral's name for it is "long non-coding RNA (MDOM_LNC016906)". The record is from RNAcentral. Lineage: Eukaryota; Viridiplantae; Streptophyta; Magnoliopsida; Rosales; Rosaceae.
CGUCGUUAUUCUCAAGGUUGCUUCUAUGGAUAACAUAUAGAUAUCCAUUGCCUAGGCCUACUACUCAGCCAUUUAUGAAAUGACUACAGAAGAGGUAUCAUCACUGAUGACCAAGCUGAUUGGCUCUAGUGCAAGUGGGAGAUUGUUGGAAAUGUGCCCUAAAUCCAAUCAUAUGAUGAUACUUUACGGACAUUUCACAUGUUAAACUAAUCUAGUUUAACUAUAAAAGGCAAAGAUUAUUGUUUGAGUCGUCUCAUAUAAAUGUUAUAUGCUUAAACGAUAAAGUCCAAGGAAUAUGUGAUUGGGAGAAUGUAAUCUAAUGAAGUUAGAUUCAUGAGACCAUUCUUUUGUAGACACAUCCUAAAUGUUCCUGAUCAUAGGAUUGCCAAUUGGGCAUUGACGGUCGGUCAAGAUCGGUACGUGCUAUGUCUUCUCUCAGGGAGAGUGACUAGUCUCGAGUCAUUGGUGUGUGU